Molecule: long non-coding RNA, 1661 nt
Organism: Nycticebus coucang (slow loris)
Lineage: Eukaryota; Metazoa; Chordata; Mammalia; Primates; Lorisidae
Exons: 3
Source: RefSeq, a predicted model, not a curated record
GGCGGGGCCUGGAGGUAGGAAAAGGAAGAGUCUGUGGGAAGGAAGCGGCGGGGACGCGCCGUGCGCGGUCGCGCCUGGUGUCCCGGUCCGGUUCCAAGCGCAGGGUGGUGCGGCCGCUUCUCCGGUCGGUGUGGCAGUGGCGCGCGCAUGCCUCAGGGGGCUUUGUUUGAUGGGCAGGAGGAAAGGGGAUAGUCCCAGGGCAUGCGGCCUCUUUUUGCCAGGCAAAUUGGAGAGUCGAGAAGGACACGGAGGGGGUGGAAAAGGAAGAAAGGGGGAAAGGAAAAUGCCUCGAAACCAGUUCCCUCAUUUCUGAGCUGGAGAAAAAACAGCCUUAGCCGGCGGCGCAGAAACUAGACCUGAGCGAGGGAGUAGAAGACAGCUUUGAAGGUGUGGACAGUACGAUGAGUGCUUUCCUUUUUGUUCCACAAUAUAAAUUACUGGAGGACAAUUGCACAGUAAAAAGGAAAAUGAAGAGUGACUUGUCACAGGGGCUGGAAUUCUCUGAGUAAACUCAAAAGGAGCAACAUCCUAGAAAUUCCUUAAACAUGCCUCUCCAGAACCUCUGAAUCCAAAACUGUACGACAAACUGUACAACGUACUUUAAUGAGCCCUCCAAAUGACACAUUACACUAUGCACAAAAGAAAAACUAUGCAAUACCUACAAAACCUAAAAAAGGUUCUGUAAGAAAGAAUGGGUGUCAUUCAUCAGUUGGAGACAGAGUCUCACUGUACCGCCCUCCGGUAGAGUGCCAUGGCGUCACACGGCUCACAGCAACCUCUAACUCCUGGGCUUACGCGAUUCUCUUGCCUCAGCCUCCCGAGCAGCUGGGACUACAGGCGCCUGCCACAACGCCCAGCUAUUUUUUUCUUGCAGUUUGGCAGGGGCUGGGUUUGAACCCGCCACCCUCGGCAUAUGGGGCCAGCGCCCUACUCACUGAGCCACAGGCGCCGCCCUAUUUAAUGUAUUCUUAAGAGAGGAUAUCCAGGAAGGAUGAAUUCUAGAAGAACAAAGGUCUUUUCAAGGAGACCCCAAGGAUACACCUGCAGGGGUCCACCCCCACCCCCCAUGGUGACUCAGCUCUUAGGAAUUUAUAGAAACGUAACUUCCUGGAACCUGGAAAUUUCUGCUUUUGUGAAAUCCUGUAGUUCUGUAGGAGUGGGAACAGCUUCUCCUGCUUGCUUCAAACUGACCAACUACAAAAGGUACCUGUGGGCUAGAACUUCUUGACUUUUCGACUGGGGAUAAAAAGGAGAAGCCGCAGCCAGUCGGGGAGUGUGGCCACUUUGCAUUUUAUUUUUAAGGGGAGGGGGAAAAAAGGGGAGAGAGGAGUUUGGCUGGAGGGAGGAUAAAUGGUGGGACCACACCUAUGGUGCAUAUUGCAAGGGUACAUAUCAAAUCUAUUAAGUGUAGAGUAUAAAUGUCUUUACACAAUAAUUAAGCAAGUGAGGUGAAAGCUAUGUUGACCAGUUUGAUGUAAGCAUUCCAAAUUGUAUAUAAAAUUACCAUAUUGUACCCCAUAAUGCAUUAAUGUAUACAGUUAUGGUUUCAUUUUUAAAAAGGGGGGAAAGAAAAAAAUAAAUGUGGCUAUUGGAAAAUCUAAUAAAAAAUAAAAAUAAUACAAUGCCAUUUUGAAUUCUUCUAUGCCAUUUGCUCUGCUGGC